Bactrocera oleae (olive fruit fly) is the source of this 1265-nucleotide non-coding RNA. NCBI's taxonomy places the organism in Eukaryota, Metazoa, Arthropoda, Insecta, Diptera, Tephritidae. The record is from RefSeq and is a predicted model, not a curated record.
GCAAUUUAAAAUUCUAUACCUCUAAAAAAAAAUUGCUUGGCGGCCUUAUCACAUUAAUUGAUUUCUUAUGUUUGUCGGUACUACUAAUUCGCACGACUUAGGCCAAACUUUCAUUCGUACUGUCAGGUGCAAUCCAACCUGCAAUAUAUCAAUAAAUUGUAAAUAACGGCAUGUGAGUUGAGUAACUUUACAGGUGUAGCAAUUCACAAUAAGAAAAAUGUUAAUCAUGACAAAACGAAUGCCACAUAAUUUUUUAUGGUAAAUAACAAUAAAAAACAUAUUGUGGAAGUCCUCAUUCGAAGUACAACAAAAAGCGUGCAUGAGCAUUUUAAGUGUGGUUGCAGAUUCUUUACCUAAAUUAAAUAAAAAUAAAACGUUUAACGUUACUGAAGUAAGGCUGCAAUUCGACCACGGCGAUAAUUCUAUUGAAAUUUUUUAAAUUAAUAUUGUUUAUCGUUAUUAUUUACAAGAAGGAACAAGAGGUUCAUGUAUAAAACGAUACGGACUUCCUGGUCCUUUCUAUAAAUUUCAAAAAUAAAAUAAGAUAACAUUUAUUUAUACAUUUUGCGUUUUGUAUUAUAUUCAUAACGGAUUCGGCAUACUAAACAUAAAUACAUAUACUCGUAUGUCAAUCCAAUAGGAAAAUAAUGAAAAUACUAUGUCAAAAAAAUGAGGAGGGUUGCCCAACAUUUUGCUUCGUUCUGCUUUACUACGCCUUGACGUGAACGUAGUCUGUAAUCUAUUUUUCAUAUCUUUCAGUUAAAACAAUUAAUAUUCAAAGUAAAAAUACCCCUAAAUAUUUAACAUCUCAAAAAAAUCCCAUUCGACUCUUUUAACCCCUAAGUUUAGGGGGGAAACCCCUAAGUUGGUAACACUGUACCCUGAAUCGAAGAACUGUAUCAACAAAAAACGAGGUCAUCUUCCAGCACAAUUCUGCGCCAUGUGAAAGGGCCAACAUCGCUCGCAAUUUGAUAGCUGUAAAAAGAAUAAAGCAGUUAGUGUAGCUUGAGAAUAGCCCCGAUUUGAACCCGAUCGAAAAGCUGUGGGUAAUUAUGAAGAAACAGGUAACCAUACAGAAGCCCAAGAUCCAAAAAGAACUGGAUUCCUUUCUUUUUAAGACGUGUUAGUGGAGUUUGGAUUACAACAAAAGCUUAUAUCGUCAAUGCAAGAAUCAGGGCGGGAUUAAGGCAAAAGGAGGCGCAACAAUGUCAUGAUUGAGAUAUUUCCCAAUAAAUACAAUAAAAUUAUGAAAUAAAAACAAACAA